This 1182-nucleotide ribosomal RNA is filed under the name uncultured bacterium. Its description in RNAcentral is "bacterial SSU rRNA". It matches the Rfam family "Bacterial small subunit ribosomal RNA", at positions 8 to 1222 of the family's 1533-position model. The record is from RNAcentral.
AGAGUUUGAUCAUGGCUCAGAACGAACGCUGGCGGCGUGGAUAAGACAUGCAAGUCGCACGGAGUGCCUUCGGGCACUGAGUGGCGCACGGGUGAGUAACACGUGAGUAACCUGCCCCUGAGACAGGGAUAGCCCCGGGAAACUGGGAUUAAUACCUGAUGGUCUCGCAAGAGUAAAGCAGCAAUGCGCUCAGGGAGGGGCUCGCGUCCUAUUAGUUAGUUGGCGGGGUAACGGCCCACCAAGGCGAUGACGGGUAGCCGGUCUGAGAGGAUGUCCGGCCACACUGGAACUGAGACACGGUCCAGACACCUACGGGUGGCAGCAGUCGAGAAUCAUUCACAAUGGGCGAAAGCCUGAUGGUGCGACGCCGCGUGGGGGAGGAAGGUCUUCGGAUUGUAAACCCCUGUCAUGUGGGAGCAAGACUUCGGUUUGAUAGUACCACAAGAGGAAGAGACGGCAAACUCUGUGCCAGCAGCCGCGGUAAUACAGAGGUCUCAAGCGUUGUUCGGAAUCACUGGGCGUAAAGGGUACGUAGGCGGCAUCAUAAGUCGUGCGUGAAAGGCAGGGGCUCAACCUCUGGAGUGCGCGUGAUACUGUGAUGCUGGAGUAAUGGAGGGGGAACCGGAAUUCUUGGUGUAGCAGUGAAAUGCGUAGAUAUCAAGAAGAAGACUCGUGGCGAAGGCGGGUUCCUGGACAUUUACUGACGCUGAGGUACGAAGGCCAGGGUAGCGAAAGGGAUUAGAUACCCCUGUAGUCCUGGCAGUAAACGGUGCACGUUUGGUGUGCGGAGAUUCGACCCUCUGCGUGCCGGAGUUAACACGUUAAACGUGCCGCCUGGGGAGUACGGUCGCAAGAUUAAAACUCAAAGAAAUUGACGGGGACCCGCACAAGCGGUGGAGUAUGUGGCUUAAUUCGAUGCAACGCGAAGAACCUUACCAAGGCUUGACAUCCCGUGACCGUCUGUGAAAGCAGAUUUUCUAUUCGUAGACACGGAGACAGGUGCUGCAUGGCCGUCGUCAGCUCGUGUCGUGAGAUGUUUGGUUAAGUCCAGCAACGAGCGCAACCCCUGCUGCCAGUUACCAUCAUUAAGUUGGGGACUCUGGCGGGACUGCCCAGAUCAACUGGGAGGAAGGUGGGGACGACGUCAGGUCAGUAUGGCCCUUAUGCCUUGGGCUGCACACG